CGUCACUCCCGCUAUUUUCACGCGUGUAUUUUUGUUGUCAUUUGGAACGGUGCUCAAAAGAAAUCAGCAUGUCUGGAAGAGAAGGUGGUAAAAAGAAGCCACUGAAGCAACCAAAGAAAGGACCAAAGGAUAUGGAUGAUGAUGAUGUAGCCUUGAAACAAAAACAGAGGGAAGAGCAGAAGAAAUUGCAAGAAGCCAAGGCUAAAGCUAGCCAGAAAGGCCCAAUGGGUUCAGGUGGCAUUAAAAAAUCUGGCAAGAAAUGACCCAACGUUCCACGACAACAGCUUUACAUGUACAUGGUACAUCAUCCGUGCUCAAACUCCCUCGCUGUCACAGCAUAGACAAACUCCACUGAAUUUCAAUUCAGAGACAUCAACAAACCCUCAAUGUCAUUCUAGUCCAGUUGAUUAUUUGAUUGAGUACAUACUAAACUGAAACACUGUUUGAUAAUAACUUGAGGACAAAUAAUUCCUAAUGGAAAUUAUGCUUCACCUAUACACGAUGGAGAACAGUCUAUUGUUUUGUUGAGGAUUUCUAGCAAGAUAUCUUUAGUUAUUUAAUCCUUUUGAAGGUCAUUAGAAAUCCCAAAAACCCUUUAGUUUUCUUCACAUUGAGUUGUUAUCUUGUUCAUCUCAAAAGCUUCAUGUUGCUUUGAACGGAUAUUUGUACCAUUUACACACUUAAAAUUAAUUUUGGUUUCUUUGGCAUUUUCAAUUCAUUUGAAUCCUUUCAAAUCCAUGCAUGCCUGUGUCAUUUUGUCUUCAGUCUUUAAAAAGACCUUACAUUUACAUGGUUUUGGGGUAACGUUGAAAAAAGGCUCCGGCAUGUUCUUGAAUUUGAAAGGUUCUUACCAUUUGAGGGUGGAGGUACGUUUUAUGUUUUUAUUUUACAAAUGGGUAAAUAUUUCUCUGACGUUAAAAUGAUAAUGAUGACCAAGUACAUGUACUCUAAUACUGAGCUUCGUACUACUGACAACUAAAACAGGGGUUUCAUACUUCAUGACUUACAGGGCCGUAUUAGCAGGGGAGGGGGCUACUGUUCCCCCCCCCCCCAUCCCUUUGAGAUCUUACAUAGGCCCCAAAUCAGUCCAAUGAAAUGUUCAGACACAGGCUGAAAAGAUUAGGUCAUUAUCUUGAUUCUGCACUGGUUUUAAAAUAUUGUAAAAAACCAUUGCAGGAAAAUAUACUAACCUGUGGUCAUUUAUCAAUAAAGUAUUGGUGAUUUUAA
Molecule: long non-coding RNA, 1227 nt
Organism: Lineus longissimus
Lineage: Eukaryota; Metazoa; Nemertea; Pilidiophora; Heteronemertea; Lineidae
Exons: 4
Source: RefSeq, a predicted model, not a curated record